AAAAAAGAAAGAUCAACAUCUAAAAUAUCAAUAACCAUGGUUACGGUUAUGCUUUUCCCAAAACACAUUAUUUAUCUUUUUAGCAAGAAAUACAAAUCCUCUUUUCAUUCCAAUAGCUUGUAACCAAGAAGUUCAUUUGGACCAAUCUUUGUCAGUGUCCAAUACAAUAUAUUGAGAAUUUAUCUUUUUUAUUUUAUCCUAAAUCUGUUGUAUUAGAGUUAGUUUUCAUUUUAAUUGUAUUUCCGCACUGCAUCCUAGGUGCUUAUAAAGCCGUGGGGGAUGUGAGAUAAAACGUGUGUUUUAUAUUAAUUUUAAUUUAUCUUUGGUUUAAGGGAUGGCAGUGGUCCUUGUAGUAAACCCUUGGGAGGCAGUGAGUGUGUUUUGGUUCUGCAGUAUAGAGAAAAUUUCUUGAUUUGUUUUAUGUUCGUUUUAUGGAACCCGCAUUGGGAAAACCUCUGGUUGUUGAUUUUGUGUUGCCUAACAUAUUGUUUCUUUAUUUUGUAGAAUAUUCAUCAAGGAUGUCAAA
RNAcentral lists this unclassified non-coding RNA (526 nucleotides) under Hevea brasiliensis (rubber tree). The record is from RNAcentral. Lineage: Eukaryota; Viridiplantae; Streptophyta; Magnoliopsida; Malpighiales; Euphorbiaceae.